AUGAAGAUUGCCUCCAAGCUCACCACCAAAGGUCAUCCUAUGGAGAAUGUGGUGGGAAGCCUAAGAAAGGGGCUAAGCACUUGUAGACAAUUAGCAAACUAUUGUGAACAUCAUGCGUUUGUUUCUUGUGUCGAACCCCAAAAGGUUUAUGAGGCGCUCGAGGACCCGGAUUGGCUCAAUGCCAUGCAUGAAGAACUCAACAACUUUGAGCAUAACCAAGUGUGGAAAUUAGUGCCAAGGCCAACCGGGAAUCAUAAUGUCAUAGGCACCAAGUGGAUAUUCAAGAACAAGCAAGAUGCUCAUGGGAUUAUUGUUCGCAACAAGGCUCGCUUGGUGGCACAAGGCUACUCCCAAGUCGAGGGUAUCGACUAUGGUGAAACCUUUGCUCCCGUUGCUCGCCUUGAAUCUAUUUGUUUGUUGAUUGCUUAUGCUUCUCAUCAUAAUUUCACGUUGCAACAAAUGGAUGUGAAGAGUGCUUUUCUUAAUGGUCCCAUUAAUGAGUUGGUGUACGUCAAACAACCCCCCGGGUUCGAAGAUCCCUACUUCCCCGAUCAUGUGUACCAAUUCCACAAGGCGCUCUAUGUCCUUAAACAAGCCCCACAUGCGUGGUAUGAGCAUCUUACGGAGUUGUUACAAGAUCGUGGGUUCGAAAUCGGGAAAAUCGAUCCCACUCUUUUUACUAAGAAGGUCAAAGGGGAGUUGUUUGUGUGCCAACUAUAUGUUGAUGAUAUUAUUUUUGGUUCCCCUAACAAAGCUUUCAAUGAAGAAUUUGCCGCACUCAUGACCUCAAAGUUCAAGAUGUCUAUGAUGGGAGAGUUGAAGUUCUUCCUCGGGUUCGAAAUCAAGCAAAGAAGAGAAGGAACCUUCAUCAACCAAGCCAAAUACACUCAAGACAUGCUAAAGAGAUUCAAGCUAAGUGAUGUCAAGCCGGCUUCCACCCCAAUUCCCACCAAGUGCCAACUUGACAUUGAUCCAAAUGGUAAAGCGGUGGAUCAAAAGGUAUUUCGCUCUAUGAUUGGCUCCUUGCUUUACCUUUGUGCAUCUAGACCGGAUAUCAUGUUGAGUGUGGGAAUUUGUGCACGGUUUCAAGCCGCACCAAAGGAAAGUCACUUGGUGGCGGUCAAGCGAAUCUUUUGA
Molecule: ribosomal RNA, 1137 nt
Filed under: Triticum aestivum (bread wheat)
Lineage: Eukaryota; Viridiplantae; Streptophyta; Magnoliopsida; Poales; Poaceae
Description: partial small subunit ribosomal RNA
Source: RNAcentral